This 321-nucleotide small nuclear RNA is filed under the name Octodon degus (degu). RNAcentral describes it as "7SK RNA (ENSODEG00000024392.1)". It matches the Rfam family "7SK RNA". From Rfam's summary of the family: 7SK was discovered as an abundant small nuclear RNA in the mid-70s but a possible function has only recently been suggested. Two independent studies have found that 7SK RNA binds the CDK9/cyclin T complex (known as elongation factor P-TEFb). P-TEFb activates transcription by phosphorylating the C-terminal domain of RNA polymerase II. The record is from Rfam by way of RNAcentral. Lineage: Eukaryota; Metazoa; Chordata; Mammalia; Rodentia; Octodontidae.
GGAUGUGAGGGCGAUCUGGCUGUGACAUCUGUCACCUCAUUGAUCACCAGGGUUGAUUCGGCUGAUCUGGUUGACUGGUCAGGUGUCCCCUUCUUCCCUCAAUGAUCCAUUUGUGCCCCUCCCAAAGCUGUGCCCUCGGUCGAAGAGGACGACCAUCCCUUAUAGAGGAGGACCAUUCCUCAGUCAAGGGUAUAUGAGCAGCUGCGCUCCCUUUCUGGAACCUCCAAACAAGCUCUCAAGAAAUAGAGAGUGGGACAAUGUAGAGAGGAAUUAGUAGAUUAUGCCCUUAGUUGAGACUUGCUUGGUCACUGUUCCAUCACU